CUGGAGUCAAUCUUUGUAAGGAUUGAAGGUGGCGGUGUAAGACUGUGCGGCCUCCAGCUACUGCAGUCACUGUGCUACCCAGAGGGCGAUGCUUGGAGCUGCCAAGGAGCCACAGGGAGAGACGGUCCCCAGGGGCCCAAGCACGAAAAUGGGCUUGUUCUAUCUCCUGUGUCUGGAGAUGGAGGAUGAAGAAGCCCCAGCUAAUCCUUUGGCUUGCUCUGAGCAGAUAAAAUCUUCGGUACGCUGGCCUGCUCUCGCCCUCCCUCCCUUCCUUCCUUUCUAACCUUUAUUGAAUAUUUCCUGUGGUACUUCUGUUUGGAAUAUAAUAAAAACCGAAACAGAAAGAAUCUCAGCUCAGAUGGAGUUCAAUUUCGG
This 375-nucleotide long non-coding RNA is filed under the name Equus caballus (horse). RNAcentral's name for it is "lncRNA (ENSECAG00000048034.1)". Lineage: Eukaryota; Metazoa; Chordata; Mammalia; Perissodactyla; Equidae. The record is from RNAcentral.